UGGGGAAUAUUGGACAAUGGGCGCAAGCCUGAUCCAGCAAUGCCGCGUGUGUGAAGAAGGCCUGCGGGUUGUAAAGCACUUUCAAUCGUGAAGAAAUGCUUACGGUUAAUACCCGUAAGUUUUGACGUUAACGAUACAAGAAGCACCGGCUAACUCCGUGCCAGCAGCCGCGGUAAUACGGAGGGUGCGAGCGUUAAUCGGAAUUACUGGGCGUAAAGAGUACGUAGGCGGCUUGGUCAGUCGGAUGUGAAAGCCCCGGGCUUAACCUGGGAAUUGCACUCGAUACUGCCAAGCUAGAGUUUAGUAGAGGAAUGCGGAAUUCCGGGUGUAGCGGUGAAAUGCGUAGAGAUCCGGAGGAACAUCAAUGGCGAAGGCAGCAUUCUGGGCUAAAACUGACGCUGAGGUACGAAAGCGUGGGGAGCAAACAGGAUUAGAUACCCCCGUAGUCC
RNAcentral lists this ribosomal RNA (449 nucleotides) under uncultured prokaryote. RNAcentral's name for it is "bacterial SSU rRNA". It matches the Rfam family "Bacterial small subunit ribosomal RNA", at positions 355 to 796 of the family's 1533-position model. The record is from RNAcentral.